AGAAUCAACGCUGGCGGCGUGCCUAACACAUGCAAGUCGAACGCGAAAGUGGAGCAAUCCAUGAGUAGAGUGGCAAACGGGUGAGUAACGCGUGGGCGACCUGCCUUCGAGUGGGGGAUAACAUUCCGAAAGGGAUGCUAAUACCGCAUAACAUCCUUCGUUUAGAUACGAGGUGAUCAAAGCUGGGAGCAAUCCUGGCGCUUAAAGAGGGCCCGCGUCCGAUUAGCUAGUUGGUGGGUAAUGGCCUACCAAGGCUCCGAUCGGUA
RNAcentral lists this ribosomal RNA (266 nucleotides) under uncultured bacterium. RNAcentral describes it as "partial small subunit ribosomal RNA". It matches the Rfam family "Bacterial small subunit ribosomal RNA", at positions 26 to 285 of the family's 1533-position model. The record is from RNAcentral.